RNAcentral lists this ribosomal RNA (501 nucleotides) under uncultured Gammaproteobacteria bacterium. RNAcentral describes it as "bacterial SSU rRNA". It matches the Rfam family "Bacterial small subunit ribosomal RNA", at positions 324 to 818 of the family's 1533-position model. Lineage: Bacteria; Pseudomonadati; Pseudomonadota; Gammaproteobacteria. The record is from RNAcentral.
ACACGGUCCAGACUCCUACGGGAGGCAGCAGUGGGAAUAUUGGACAAUGGGCGAAAGCCUGAUCCAGCCAUGCCGCGUGUGUGAAGAAGGUCUUCGGAUUGUAUAGCACUUUAAGUUGGGAGGAAGGGCAUUAACCUAAUACGUUAGUGUUUUGACGUUACCGACAGAAUAAGCACCGGCUAACUCUGUGCCAGCAGCCGCGGUAAUACAGAGGGUGCAAGCGUUAAUCGGAAUUACUGGGCGUAAAGCGCGCGUAGGUGGUUUGUUAAGUUGGAUGUGAAAGCCCCGGGCUCAACCUGGGAACUGCAUUCAAAACUGACAAGCUAGAGUAUGGUAGAGGGUGGUGGAAUUUCCUGUGUAGCGGUGAAAUGCGUANAUAUAGGAAGGAACACCAGUGGCGAAGGCGACCACCUGGACUGAUACUGACACUGANGUGCGAAAGCGUGGGGAGCAAACAGGAUUAGAUACCCUGGUAGUCCACGCCGUAAACGAUGUCAACUA